CAGUCGCCGCGGUAAUACGUAGGGUGCGAGCGUUAAUCGGAAUUACUGGGCGUAAGGCGUGCGCAGGCGGUUCGUUAAGACAGAUGUGAAAUCCCCGGGCUUAACCUGGGAACUGCAUUUGUGACUGGCGAGCUAGAGUAUGGCAGAGGGGGGUAGAAUUCCACGUGUAGCAGUGAAAUGCGUAGAGAUGUGGAGGAAUACCGACGGCGAAGGCAGCCCCCUGGGCCAAUACUGACGCUCAUGCACGAAAGCGUGGGGAGCAAACAGGAUUAGAUACCCCCGUAGUCCCUGUCUCUUAUAC
Molecule: ribosomal RNA, 301 nt
Filed under: uncultured bacterium
Lineage: Bacteria
Description: partial 16S ribosomal RNA
Rfam family: Bacterial small subunit ribosomal RNA
Source: RNAcentral